This 209-nucleotide ribosomal RNA is filed under the name uncultured bacterium. RNAcentral describes it as "partial 16S ribosomal RNA". It matches the Rfam family "Bacterial small subunit ribosomal RNA", at positions 568 to 774 of the family's 1533-position model. The record is from RNAcentral.
CUCGUAGGUGGCCAACUAAGUCAGACGUGAAAUCCCUCAGCUUAACUGGGGAACUGCGUCUGAUACUGGAUGGCUUGAGUUUGGGAGAGGGAUGCGGAAUUCCAGGUGUAGCGGUGAAAUGCGUAGAUAUCUGGAGGAACACCGGUGGCGAAGGCGGCAUCCUGGACCAACACUGACACUGAGGAGCGAAAAGGCCAGGGGAGCAAACG